This 465-nucleotide ribosomal RNA is filed under the name uncultured bacterium. RNAcentral's name for it is "partial 16S ribosomal RNA". It matches the Rfam family "Bacterial small subunit ribosomal RNA", at positions 28 to 507 of the family's 1533-position model. The record is from RNAcentral.
GACGAACGCUGGCGGCGUGCUUAACACAUGCAAGUCGUACGGUAAGGCCCUUUCGGGGGUACACGAGUGGCGAACGGGUGAGUAACACGUGAGUAACCUGCCCACAACUUUGGGAUAACGCUAGGAAACUGGUGCUAAUACUGGAUAUGUGCUCCUGCUGCAUGGUGGGGGUUGGAAAGCUCCGGCGGUUGUGGAUGGACUCGCGGCCUAUCAGCUUGUUGGUGGGGUAGUGGCCUACCAAGGCGGCGACGGGUAGCCGGCCUGAGAGGGUGACCGGCCACAGUGGGACUGAGAUACGGCCCAGACUCCUACGGGAGGCAGCAGGGGGGAAUAUUGCACAAUGGGCGCAAGCCUGAUGCAGCAACGCCGCGGGCGGGAUGACGGCCUUCGGGUUGUAAACCGCUUUCAGCAGGGACGAAGCUUUUUGUGACGGUACCUGCAGAAGAAGCACCGGCUAACUACGUG